Molecule: ribosomal RNA, 292 nt
Filed under: uncultured Bacteroidota bacterium
Lineage: Bacteria; Pseudomonadati; Bacteroidota
Description: uncultured Bacteroidetes bacterium partial 16S ribosomal RNA
Source: RNAcentral
GGACUACAGGGGUUUCUAAUCCUGUUUGCUCCCCACGCUUUCGUGCCUCAGUGUCAAUCAAACCGUAGUAAGCUGCCUUCGCAAUUGGUGUUCUGUGACAUAUCUAUGCAUUUCACCGCUACUUGUCACAUUCCGCUUACCUCCAGUCCAUUCAAGCUAUUCAGUAUCAAAGGCACUGCGACAGUUGAGCUGCCGUCUUUCACCCCUGACUUAAUUAGCCACCUACGCACCCUUUAAACCCAAUAAAUCCGGAUAACGCUCGGAUCCUCCGUAUUACCGCGGCUGCUGGCAC